Molecule: ribosomal RNA, 426 nt
Filed under: uncultured bacterium
Lineage: Bacteria
Description: bacterial SSU rRNA
Rfam family: Bacterial small subunit ribosomal RNA
Source: RNAcentral
UGGGAACGCGAAGAACCUUACCUAAGCUUGACAUCCUUUUUGACCGAUGCCUAAUCGCAUUUUUCCCUUCGGGGACAGAAGUGACAGGUGGUGCAUGGUUGUCGUCAGCUCGUGUCGUGAGAUGUUGGGUUAAGUCCCGCAACGAGCGCAACCCUUGCCUUUAGUUGCCAGCAUUAAGUUGGGCACUCUAGAGGGACUGCCAGGGAUAACCUGGAGGAAGGUGGGGAUGACGUCAAAUCAUCAUGCCCCUUAUGCUUAGGGCUACACACGUGCUACAAUGGGUGGUACAGAGGGCAGCCAAGUCGUGAGGCCGAGCUAAUCCCUUAAAGCCAUUCUCAGUUCGGAUUGUAGGCUGAAACUCGCCUACAUGAAGCUGGAGUUACUAGUAAUCGCAGAUCAGAAUGCUGCGGUGAAUGCGUUCCCGGG